Molecule: long non-coding RNA, 186 nt
Organism: Adelges cooleyi (spruce gall adelgid)
Lineage: Eukaryota; Metazoa; Arthropoda; Insecta; Hemiptera; Adelgidae
Exons: 4
Source: RefSeq, a predicted model, not a curated record
UUUCGAUCGUACAAUUUACAGUUUUUUCAGAAUAAAAAAAAUUGUAUUCAUACAAUAUGAAAAAAAUUGCCAUUUUUUGUAUAGCAGUCUGUAUAACAUCUUUGGUCACACAAGGUCGGCCAUAUCCACAAGGUGGUGAUAAGCCGGAGGUCAAAGGUGAGAGUGAUUCGAAGAAAUCAAAAGACA